Molecule: ribosomal RNA, 43 nt
Filed under: Fusarium sp. 02TRU711
Lineage: Eukaryota; Fungi; Ascomycota; Sordariomycetes; Hypocreales; Nectriaceae
Description: partial large subunit ribosomal RNA
Source: RNAcentral
GAAUGUUGACCUCGGAUCAGGUAGGAAUACCCGCUGAACUUAA